GACUUUGUAGCUCAGUUGGUAGAGCAAAUGACUCUUAAUCAUUGGGUCGAGGGUUCGAGUCCCUCCAGGGUCA
RNAcentral lists this transfer RNA (73 nucleotides) under Bacteroidales bacterium. RNAcentral describes it as "tRNA-Lys". It matches the Rfam family "tRNA". Rfam says of the family: Transfer RNA (tRNA) molecules are approximately 80 nucleotides in length. The record is from RNAcentral. Lineage: Bacteria; Pseudomonadati; Bacteroidota; Bacteroidia; Bacteroidales.